AUGAUCAUGGAUUCAUGUAGCAACCUAGACAUCCUAAUGUCAUGCAAAGCGGAGCCUGAUGUGGAGGCUGCAGGAGCGAGGCGUGGAACUGAGACGAGUCCCAUGCCAACCGGGCGCAUGGCGACCAUACGCGUAGCGAUCUCCCGGGUCCGUCCGCAACUAUUCACGCCGCACGGCGUGCUGAUCGGCCUUUACAACCACCGUAAAGGUCUUUCCCAAUGGACGGACGUGAAGGAGAAAGCCGUCGUCGACCUGUUUCACGGUGAAGUGGAUGAGGUGAUGCGGGAGCUGGAAAAUGUAGAGGGUGAAGCAAGGAGGUGCUAUGCCCAUCUGCCCGACCCCAUUUUGUGUUCGGAGCAGUCCUCAUUCUCACAUAUGCUGCUGCAUGAUGGCUGCUAUCUGCUAUCUCUGUUUGUAAAAUAUGAGACAAACGCGCCUCAAUAUCCCGAGACGGCAGCUGGUGGAGUCUCCGAUGGCGCGGUGGUGCGCGACACCGUGUUUCUUCUUGAGAAUCAAAUACCUCUCUUGGUGCUUGACAAGAUCCACCAGCUCGUCACAGGAGACACCGAUAGUUGCGUCCUCGAAAGCAUAUCUGUUGCUGUCCAGGGGCUUCUGCAGGCACAACUCUACAUCAGCAAGAAGCCUCAGCCGGCGCCGCAGCAGUCGUCCCACUUGCUGCACCUGGUGCAUCACUACUUUCAGCCAACCAAUCCGCCUCCGGAAAGGGCAGGGAACACGGCACGGCGCACAGGCCGAUGGCGCCGGGCGACGGAGUACCGCUGCCACGGCAACGUACGUUUCAAGCCCGAAGACUUGGUGGAAGGCAAGGAGUCCACCAUCCUGGACGUGAGCUAUCAAGUAGGUACGCUGUGGAUCCCUCGCCUGCAGGUCAACAGCAAUACAUGGACAAUCCUACGUAACCUGAUGGCCCUGGAGGAGCAGAUGACACGGCGGCCCGUGACGGCCUACUGCGUCUUCCUGUCGCAGGUGGCGGGCACGGUGGAGGAUGUGAAGCUCUUAGUUCGUGCCGGGAUCGUCCAACAAUUCUUGUCAAGUGAGAAGCAGGUCGCCCAAGACUUGGCCAACCUCUUAACCGGGGUGGUCUUGGACGUGGACAACCUCGACCAGAACUACCUCAAGCCCAUAUGGCACGACCUGGACAUGCGCUGCAACAAAUGGGUGAACAGAUUCAUGGGAACGUGCCGCGAACAGCACUGCCGCAACGGGUUGUACACCAUAGCAUUCGUUAUCACCGCCAUCCUCUUUGCCUGUGGAUUGCUGCAAGCGGUCUUUGCAGUCCUAAGCUACAAAUACAAGAAAUAG
Molecule: ribosomal RNA, 1323 nt
Filed under: Triticum aestivum (bread wheat)
Lineage: Eukaryota; Viridiplantae; Streptophyta; Magnoliopsida; Poales; Poaceae
Description: partial small subunit ribosomal RNA
Source: RNAcentral